GAAAGGAUAUUGUUGACCACUAACAAAGCUUUUUCCUUUCGUGGCUCAAGAGAAAGCAUGAUUGCAAAGCAAGCCAAAACAACCACAUGGCCAAAACAAAAACAACAAUAUAAUUUUACUAAACACGAACUAAACUAAUGAUGGAAAGGAAUUAUGAGUGUAAAAUUCACCGACACUUUUGGUCGGCUUUUUUUUGUCUUAACUCGGAAACCCUUCAUUAAGUCAAUGUUGAAUUAAAAUAAACAUAAAAUAUUGAUAGGUGAGGGAGAGUGCAAGGUUGU
Molecule: long non-coding RNA, 281 nt
Filed under: Linum usitatissimum (flax)
Lineage: Eukaryota; Viridiplantae; Streptophyta; Magnoliopsida; Malpighiales; Linaceae
Description: long non-coding RNA (LUSI_LNC000799)
Source: RNAcentral